GAAUUUAAUAUAAUUAUUUAAAAAAUUUUUAAUUUAAAAUUAAAGUAAUUAUAAUUUAGUUGGGAGGAUUGUUAAAUUUAAUUAACUUUAAUUAAAAAUAAAAUAUAAGUUAAUAAGUAAAUUUAAAAAGAAUGAUUAUUAGAUUAAAUAAAAAUUAAUUACCUUAGGGAUAACAGCGUAAUAUUUUUAGAGAGAUCAUAUUAAUAAAAAUGAUUGC
Molecule: ribosomal RNA, 217 nt
Filed under: Strumigenys beebei
Lineage: Eukaryota; Metazoa; Arthropoda; Insecta; Hymenoptera; Formicidae
Description: partial large subunit ribosomal RNA
Source: RNAcentral